AAAGAAUAAAGCUACUAUAUGAACUCAAAUGUAUCAAAAACUACUGAUUAUUGAAUAUAGACACUACAAUGUUUCAGAAUGAAGAAACAACCCAAAUAUUGCACUAAAAAGACUAGCUUAAAUUACCACAAAGACAACCAAUAAAAAGUAGCGCAAUAGUCUAAACUUCUAUAUUUUUAAGUAACUUUAUACAACUCCGGUCCUUGGUUUCUACUUUCAAAAUUUAUGAAUUAAAGACAUAAAUAGGAACACCAAUAUCAGAUAUCUAUAUCAGCAUAAUUUCAUAACAUAACAAAAAUUAAAAGAAAAGAGUACAACUAAAACAAUAAAAGUCUGACAGCAAGAUUUCCUGACCAGUAAACUUUCAGACUGAAAACGACAUAGUUUGGCUGAGCAAUUACAGUUGGUGUCUUCAUAACAUUUGUAAAAGACAACCUAAAGAUCAUUUGAGAACUGGAAUCGCAGAAAAAGGAUUUUUCUACAAUUACUUAUGAUUUUUCGAAAAUCAGAUACAGUAGAGAAAAACUGCUAUGAUGUAAGUCUAUAUCUCAUGUUCUAAGUAAAGGGUUUAAGACUGAGAUUUUAACAACAACAACAACAUCAUCAUAUACUUGAUUCUCUAGCCGUUAAUAAUAUAUAAGAACUGAUUUGGCUAACAAAGAAAUCAAAUUAAAGGUGACCAAAACCAAAGGAUUUAGUAUUCCUAUUUGCCACAGAAUUCAACAACAACAAAACCAAAACCAAUUCUUAAUAGGAACUAUUCCAAUCAAAUAAACAAUCAUACAAAGAUUCCAAAGUGAUGUCAAAUUCUAAAUUCACAAACUAAGAGCAUAUAAACACAAUCAAUUGGUUUGAACAUAAAGAGAAUCUAACCUGAGUUCUACCAAUUUCCUACAACACCAAUUUCUCUUCUCUACUCUCUCUCUCUCUCUCUCUAUCAGUGAACUCAAAGAAAACAUAUGGAAAACUCUGAAUACUAACCUCUAUUUAUAUGGUCUGGAAAGAGAGAAGAACGUGGAGUCCAAGAAAGACUAAAGAAAGUCAAAUUGAGCACUUCAACUCAAUUCUUAUCCAUCUGGAAACUUAGUCUCCAAGAAUUUUGACAUCUUCUGCUUAAUGAAGUCGGCUGCUAGGUGUUUCAAGGACGGUUUCUGGGUUUCAUGGCGGUAAUGUUUCGGAUUGGGAAACAUCUGGUUGGAAGAAAGAAGAAGUCGAUGAAGAAGAGAGGAUAAACCUUUGAGUUUAAUGGUCGGAAGGAAGAAGGUGAAGGAGAAGAAGCAGAAGGCUCUGAAGGAGAAGAAGCAGAAGGCUCUGAAGGAGAAGAAGAAGAGGACGACGUCGUUCUGCCUGAAUGAAAAACUCUUUCCUAUAGCUAUCAAAUUUGGGCUUGGGUUUUGUAUUUGGAUAUUGAGGUUGGAUAAAA
Molecule: long non-coding RNA, 1423 nt
Filed under: Fragaria vesca (wild strawberry)
Lineage: Eukaryota; Viridiplantae; Streptophyta; Magnoliopsida; Rosales; Rosaceae
Description: long non-coding RNA (FVES_LNC003162)
Source: RNAcentral